This 491-nucleotide ribosomal RNA is filed under the name uncultured bacterium. RNAcentral's name for it is "partial 16S ribosomal RNA". It matches the Rfam family "Bacterial small subunit ribosomal RNA", at positions 29 to 507 of the family's 1533-position model. The record is from RNAcentral.
GUGAACGCUGGCGGUAGGCCUAACACAUGCCAGUCGAACGGCAGCACAGUAAGAGCUUGCUCUUACGGGUGGCGAGUGGCGGACGGGUGAGGAAUACAUCGGAAUCUACUUUUUCGUGGGGGAUAACGUAGGGAAACUUACGCUAAUACCGCAUACGACCUACGGGUGAAAGCAGGGGAUCUUCGGACCUUGCGCGAUUGAAUGAGCCGAUGUCGGAUUAGCUAGUUGGCGGGGUAAAGGCCCACCAAGGCGACGAUCCGUAGCUGGUCUGAGAGGAUGAUCAGCCACACUGGAACUGAGACACGGUCCAGACUCCUACGGGAGGCAGCAGUGGGGAAUAUUGGACAAUGGGCGCAAGCCUGAUCCAGCCAUACCGCGUGGGUGAAGAAGGCCUUCGGGUUGUAAAGCCCCUUUGUUGGGAAAGAAAAGCAGCAGGUUAAUACCCCGCUGUUCUGACGGUACCCAAAGAAUAAGCACCGGCUAACUUCGUG